Molecule: ribosomal RNA, 639 nt
Filed under: uncultured bacterium
Lineage: Bacteria
Description: bacterial SSU rRNA
Rfam family: Bacterial small subunit ribosomal RNA
Source: RNAcentral
AGGGUUUGAUCAUGGCUCAGAACGUACGCUGGCGGCACGCCUAAUACAUGCAAGUCGAACGAAGUAGCAAUACUUAGUGGCAGACGGGUGAGUAACAUGUGGGUAUCUUCCCUUUGGUGAGGAAUAACACGAGGAAACUUGUGCUAAUACCUCAUAAGUCUUUACAGAGAAAGCUUUAUGCGCCAUUGGAUGAGCCUGCACUUGAUUAGUUUGUUGGUGGGGUAAUGGCCUACCAAGACAAUGAUCAAUAGCUGAUUUGAGAGGAUGAUUAGCCACAUUGGGACUGAGACACGGCCCAAACUCCUACGGGAGGCAGCAGUAGGGAAUCUUGCACAAUGGAGGAAACUCUGAUGCAGCGAUGCCGCGUGAGUGAAGAAGGCCUUUGGGUUGUAAAGCUCUUUCGUCGGGGAAGAAAAUGACUGUACCCGAAUAAGAAGGUCCGGCUAACUUCGUGCCAGCAGCCGCGGUAAUACGAAGGGACCUAGCGUAGUUCGGAAUUACUGGGCUUAAAGAGUUCGUAGGUGGUUAAAAAAGUUGAUGGUGAAAUCCCAGAGCUUAACUCUGGAACUGCCAUCAAAACUUUUUAGCUAGAGUAUGAUAGAGGAAAGCAGAAUUUCUAGUGUAGAGGUGAAAUUCGUA